GAUCCUGGCUCAGGAUGAACGCUAGCUACAGGCUUAACACAUGCAAGUCGAGGGGCAGCAUGAACUUAGCUUGCUAAGUUUGAUGGCGACCGGCGCACGGGUGAGUAACACGUAUCCAACCUGCCGAUGACUCGGGGAUAGCCUUUCGAAAGAAAGAUUAAUACCCGAUGGCAUAGUUCUUCCGCAUGGUGGAACUAUUAAAGAAUUUCGGUUAUCGAUGGGGAUGCGUUCCAUUAGGUUGG
RNAcentral lists this ribosomal RNA (242 nucleotides) under uncultured bacterium. RNAcentral describes it as "partial 16S ribosomal RNA". It matches the Rfam family "Bacterial small subunit ribosomal RNA", at positions 15 to 249 of the family's 1533-position model. The record is from RNAcentral.